This 4499-nucleotide long non-coding RNA is filed under the name Ornithorhynchus anatinus (platypus). RNAcentral describes it as "lncRNA (ENSOANG00000046673.1)". The stretch from base 2542 to 2613 matches the Rfam family "tRNA". The record is from RNAcentral. Lineage: Eukaryota; Metazoa; Chordata; Mammalia; Monotremata; Ornithorhynchidae.
AUGGCUGAAUUUAAGGGUGUUGGGGUUUUUUUGUUUGUUUCAGGCUUGUUUUGGUUUGUUUUUUUGUUGUUGUUAUUUUCUUGCUUUCUUUAGAGAGUUGUUGACUGCUGCUGUCUGACCUUCCUGUGGGAAGUUAAUUAAAUUGUAUUCCGGGCAAGAUGGUCAAUUCUUUCUUCUUAAUCCCUUCUGGCCUGAUUCUAAAGUAUAGCUCCCUGAGGGGAUGCCUGCUGUUGGAAAUUUUAGAAGGGAUUUUGUUGCUGCUGAAUGGGAACUACUUCUGGGUCUUUCUUUAACAUUCCAUGAGCGUAUGAAGGGCAGUCUAAUGCAUGCAGUACAUAGAAAAACUCUGGAGAGAGAAAAAUCUUUAAAAAAAAAAAAAAGGCAUGCAUUAGGUUCUUGUAGAACUGCCUGCUUGUUCUUUGACAGAGUGGAAGAAAAUCAUCUUUUGACACCAGAUGUGUUUUUUGUCUCGGGCACAAACCACCUAUUUUGAGGAGGAGGAGAGUCGGAAUCAGCAGUUAACUCCCACCAUGAAGGAUGGUGGGCGGGGGGGAGAGGAAGAGGAAGUCGGGACAUUGGGGAGCGGGAUAGGGCCAGGAGAAGCAGAAGACCCUACUAGAAGUCAGACUGCAGACUGAUGAGGUGGGGGGCAGGGGGUCCCCCACUACCGAGAGACAAAAUGGCUGGUGGGGAAAGGUGAGCUCCAGGAGAGUUAGGUCCUCACCUGCAACAGUCACCCUAGAAGAGGGGGUAUCUGCCCCGUAGGGUCGGGAAUCACCACAUCCCAGCCACCCUUCCUUUUCACCGCUCGGCAGUGCAGAAGGAGGAGUGGAGAGUUUCCGUGCCCGACUUAGCGAAGAUAAUCUGAGAAGCAGCGUGGCGCAGUGGAAAGAGCACGGGCUUUGGAGUCAGGGCUCAUGAGUUCGAAUCCCAGCUCUGCCACUUGUCAGCUGUGUGACUGUGGGCAAGUCACUUCACUUCUCUGGGCCUCAGUUCCCUCAUCUGUAAAAUGGGGAUUAAGACUGUGAGCCCCACGUGGGACAACCUGAUUCCCCUGUGUUUACCCCAGCGCUUGGAACAGUGCUCGGCACAUAGUAAGCGCUUAACAAAUACCAACAUUAUUAUUAUUAUUAAUCGGGUUGCUACCUUAGAUCUUUAGCAAAAAAGAAAAGAGAAAUCAGUUUUUGCCCGGAAAGCCUUCUGUGUUUGAGGUGAGAGAUGCUACCUUUCCGUCUAGUUUGGACCCAGCCUCCCUCGGGCAGGUGACACAACAGUGAGGGAGGGAGUAAUAAGCAAAGCAGAGACAGGGGUCCAGUGAGCAAGAGUCUCCCCCAAUUCAGAUUCACAGAGGGCCCUCCUCUCCGAUUCCCCAACUCCCGGCUUCUAACUGUUGGGAAGGCUUGGAGGGUUAACGGCUUAAUUAUUGGAUUGCCCCCCUACCAAUGACCUGUUACUUUCCCAACUACUUAGCCGCAUAUAUUUUAAGUCCAGUGAUAGUGUAGCCAAAUGCACAAAACCAAACAAUUUCACACUCAGAAAAAAGGCUACUCCACAAAUCCCAAGAUCAUCUCCACAAGGGAGCUGAGCCAAAGCCUCCCUGCAAAGAUCCUGUGAAAUCCGAGAAGUGAGAAUGACUCCUUUUUCCGUUCUCACCUGCCAGAAAGGAUCGGGAGCUCAGUCGGGAGGCGGGAACGCUUGGAGCGGGAAAAGGGAGAUGUUUGUCUUGUUGUCAUCGCUUUAUCUUCCUUGACAUAUUAUUGAAUAUUUCAGGUCCUUUCCUCCUUUAAGGACCCACCAGUUCCACCAGUGUGCUGCUAUCAUUCCACCAGUCAUCCUGGCUGUGCUAGCUGGCUGAGGCAACAAAUUAUUAUAGGCGAAACUCCUUAAAUUUUCCCUUUUAGAAAGCAUUAUACAUACGUUUUCUCUCUUCGUAAAGGGGUGUUCUUCUAUCCUAGUAACUGCAAUAACAUUCCACUAGCAAUGCUUGUUGCGGGAGUAGACGGGGAGCAGUUAGAGAAGUUUUACACUGACUGACCCAUUUACAUCAUUGUGGGAGAGGGGGCAGAGUUGUUUAGGAUUAUUACAAAGUCAGUGUUUGCCCACCAGAAAUCCACCGAGACUCUGCUUUUGUAAAAGCUUAGCUUCUUGACCUUCUUGAGAAGCAGCAUGGCGUGGUGGAUAGAGCACGGGACUGGAAGUCAGAAAGUCACGGGUUCUAAUCUAAGCUCCGCCACUUCGCUGCUGUGUGACCUUAGGCAAGUCCCUUCACUUCUCUGUGCCCGUUACCUCAUCUGUAAAAUGAUAUUAAGUCGGUGAGCCCCAUGUGGGCCAAGGACUGUGUCCAACCCGAUUUGCCAGUAUCCACUCCGGCGCUUAGUACAGUGCCUGGCACCUAGUAAGUGCUUAACAGAUACCAUAAUUAUUAUUACUGUGUGCUUUUUCAACUUUCUCUACCUUGCAAAGAAUCCUGGAAAUUUCACACAUCACUUGCAGAUCCAUUCUCCUCAAGGUAUGAACACCCCCUCUACUUCUUCUAAGAGAAGCAGCGUGGCUCAGUGGAAAGAGCACGGGCUUUGGAGUCAGAGGUCAUGGGUUCGAAUCCUGGCUCUGCCACUUGUCAGCUGUGUGCCUGUGGGCAAGUCACUUAACUUCUCUGUGCCUCAGUUCCCUCAUCUGUAAAAUGGGGAUUAAGACUGGGAGCCCCACGUGGGACAACCUGAUUCCCCUGUGUCUCCCCCAGCGCUUAGAACAGUGCUCGGCACAAAGUAAGCGCUUAACAAAUACCAACAUUGUUAUUAUUAUUAUUAGAACAGUGCUCGGCACAUAGUAAGCGCUUAACAAAUACCAACAUUAUUAUUAUUACCCAACCUCCAAACUCCUCACUGAAUUCUCUUAGUCCAGAGUCUCCUUUUGCGGACUCUACCGACCUGGGAAGUCUCGGAUGGAACGACUCGGUGACUUAGAUUUCCUCUCACCCGCCAAAGAAAGGGUGAUGAGGAUCGAUAAAAGCUUCCUCUCCGUUCCCCGAAGCCAGCUCGCCCACUCUCCUUCCCCACUGAGUAUUCCCGAUUCCGGUUGGUGGCAGAGCACGGCCGUCUCUGGGAGGCAUAAGGCCAGGCUACCCGGAGCUCAAAGCAGCUUUCGUUCUCACUGAGAAAAGAGUUUCACCUUCGCAGAAGCCACCCACUUGGCACUGCGCUCUCUAAACCUCCACUUAGCCAGCCUACAAAUAGCCAAUCCACUGGACUGACUUCCCGCUGGGCCCAAGACACGACACGCUGAAGCCGCUUACGGGUUGCAGGUAAAAAACUGGAUCCCUGUCCUUGAGCCACUUCAGAUCCCAAAGGGGAUUUAAGAAAUGAAGUAGAAAUGAAGAAAUGAAUGUAAUUUUCAUUCAUUCAAUAGGAUUUAUUGAGCGCUUACUAUGUGCCGAGCAAUUUUCCACUGGUGUGAUUGGGAUCUGUGGUAUAGCUGGGAUUAUGGAAUAUAGAGAGAAGGCAGAGACUCAAAAAAUUCAUUGGUAUCAGAUGUACACGGUCGUUUGUCCGAGUGAGUUGAAUAUAAUUUAUAUUAAGUUCAGUUAAUACUCUUCUAUUAGCUGAGCAAGUCCUAUUCAAAAAAAAACACCCCCAAAUCCCUGCCUUCCCGAUAUUCCUUCAUUACACAAAAUAAGAGCUCAGAUGGAGAAGCAGCGUGGCUCAGUGGAAAGAGCCCGGGCUUGGGAGUCAGAGGUCAUGGGUUCGAAUCCCGGCUCCGCCACUUGUCAGCUGUUUGACCUCGGGCAAGUCAUUUAACUUCUCCCUGCCUCAGUUACCGCAUCUGUAAAAUGGGAAUGAAGACCGUGAGCCCUACGUGGGACAACCUGAUUACCUUGUAUCUAUCCCAGCGCUUAGAACAGUGCUUGGCACAUAGUAAGCGCUUAACAAAUACCGACAUUAUUUAUUAUUAUAAGACAUACUUGUCAUCUCUCACCUGAUUUCCAGAAACCCUCAGGGCUGGUGGGGGUAAAGAUGCCAAACUUGCAGGUCAUCUCCCAGUUCCCGAUCCUCUCAACUUGCAUGAAAACUUGCUGUGGAGACCGCUACCAAGUGAUGAGUCAGUGGCUUCAAACUGCACCGGAGGGGAAAACUAAUUAAUGAGAGAUUACUGUGAAAUUGCUACGGGAUUCUGGUUUCUUUUUAUUACCUCCGGGGCUAAUUCAAAUGCUCACCGGACAUUUCUCCUGGAGUGAAUCGGAAUCCCGAAGAGCGGAAGGGUGAUCGGGGCUUCUUUUUAUCUGGGCAGAGAUCACUUCCAAGGGAAAGGGAACCAUUUUCCUUUAGAAUAAAAUCCAAGUUAUCAAUGGGCAUGUGAACUGCAUGUUGCCAAGUGAGGCAGAGGGCUCAAGAUGACAAUGAUAACGGUGAGAAGAUAAUAAUAAUGACUUGACAGGCAUGGCAUGGUUCCCUACAUUCAUCUCAUAUUAUCUUCACGACAUCCCCGUGAGGUAGGGAGAGGCA